GACGAACGCUGGCGGCGUGCUUAACACAUGCAAGUCGAACGGAAAGGCCCUGCUUUUGUGGGGUGCUCGAGUGGCGAACGGGUGAGUAACCCGUGAGUAACCUGCCCUUUACUUUGGGAUAACUUCAGGAAACUGGGGCUACUACCGGAUAGGAGCUCCUGCUGCAUGGUGGGGGUUGGAACGUUUCGGCGGUUGGGGAUGGACUCGCGGCUUAUCAGCUUGUUGGUGGGGUAGUGGCUUACCAAGGCUUUGACGGGUAGCCGGCCUGAGAGGGUGACCGGCCACAUUGGGACUGAGAUACGGCCCAGACUCCUACGGGAGGCAGCAGUGGGGAAUAUUGCACAAUGGGCGGAAGCCUGAUGCAGCAACGCCGCGUGCGGGAUGACGGCCUUCGGGUUGUAAACCGCUUUCGCCUGUGACGAAGCGUGAGUGACGGUAAUGGGUAAAGAAGCACCGGCUAACUACGUG
This 468-nucleotide ribosomal RNA is filed under the name uncultured bacterium. RNAcentral's name for it is "partial 16S ribosomal RNA". It matches the Rfam family "Bacterial small subunit ribosomal RNA", at positions 28 to 507 of the family's 1533-position model. The record is from RNAcentral.